AUUGAACGCUGGCGGCAGGCCUAACACAUGCAAGUCGAACGAGUGGCGGACGUGUUAUUAAUGUCUGGGAACCUGCCUGAUGGAGGGGGAUAACUACUGGAAACGGUAGCUAAUACCGCAUACCAUCAGAUUUGCCCAGAUGGGAGUAGCUUGUUGGUGGGGUAACGGCUCACCAAGGCGACGAUCCCUAGCUGGUCUGAGAGGAUGACCAGCCACACUGGAACUGAGACACGGGCCAGAAUCAUACGUGAGGCAGCAGUGGGGAAUAUUGCACAAUGGGCGCAAGCCUGAUGCAGACAUGCCGCGUGUAUGAAGAAGGCCUGAGGGUUGGAAAGUACGUUCAGCGGGGAGGCGUUACCCGCAGAAGAAGCACCGGCUAACUCCGUGCCAGCAGCCGCGGUAAUAC
This 406-nucleotide ribosomal RNA is filed under the name uncultured bacterium. RNAcentral describes it as "partial 16S ribosomal RNA". It matches the Rfam family "Bacterial small subunit ribosomal RNA", at positions 30 to 526 of the family's 1533-position model. The record is from RNAcentral.